This 74-nucleotide transfer RNA is filed under the name Bacillota bacterium. Its description in RNAcentral is "tRNA-Ala". It matches the Rfam family "tRNA". Rfam says of the family: Transfer RNA (tRNA) molecules are approximately 80 nucleotides in length. Their secondary structure includes four short double-helical elements and three loops (D, anti-codon, and T loops). Lineage: Bacteria; Bacillati; Bacillota. The record is from RNAcentral.
GGGCUUUUAGUUCAGUUGGCUAGAACAUCUGCUUUGCAAGCAGGGGGUCGGGAGUUCGAGUCUCCCAAGGUCCA